RNAcentral lists this ribosomal RNA (495 nucleotides) under uncultured bacterium. RNAcentral's name for it is "partial 16S ribosomal RNA". It matches the Rfam family "Bacterial small subunit ribosomal RNA", at positions 28 to 507 of the family's 1533-position model. The record is from RNAcentral.
GACGAACGCUGGCGGCGUGCCUAAUACAUGCAAGUAGAACGCUGAAGGAGGAGCUUGCUCUUCUGGAUGAGUUGCGAACGGGUGAGUAACGCGUAGGUAACCUGCCUGGUAGCGGGGGAUAACUAUUGGAAACGAUAGCUAAUACCGCAUAACAGUAGAUGUUGCAUGACAUUUACUUAAAAGGUGCAAUUGCAUCACUACCAGAUGGACCUGCGUUGUAUUAGCUAGUUGGUGGGGUAACGGCUCACCAAGGCGACGAUACAUAGCCGACCUGAGAGGGUGAUCGGCCACACUGGGACUGAGACACGGCCCAGACGCCUACGGGAGGCAGCAGUAGGGAAUCUUCGGCAAUGGACGGAAGUCUGACCGAGCAACGCCGCGUGAGUGAAGAAGGUUGUCGGAUCGUAAAGCUCGGUUGUAAGAGAAGAACGAGUGUGAGAGUGGAAAGUUCACACUGUGACGGUAUCUGACCAGAAAGGGACGGCUAACUACGUG